GCGGCGGAGCCGUGAGGGAGGGCGGCCUCGCCCCGGGGGCGGGGCUCCGGGUUCGGCCCCGGCCGCCGCUC
Molecule: transfer RNA, 71 nt
Filed under: Streptomyces anandii JCM 4720
Lineage: Bacteria; Bacillati; Actinomycetota; Actinomycetes; Kitasatosporales; Streptomycetaceae
Description: tRNA-Pro
Source: RNAcentral